UACAGAGGUGGCAAGCGUUGUUCGGAAUUACUGGGCGUAAAGGGCGCGUAGGUGGCCAUCUAAGUCAGACGUGAAAUCCUCCGGCUUAACCUGGGAACUGCGUCUGAUACUGGACGGCUUGAGUAUGGGAGAGGAACGUAGAAUUCCAGGUGUAGCGGUGAAAUGCGUAGAUAUCUGGAGGAAUACCGGUGGCGAAGGCGGCGUUCUGGACCAUUACUGACACUGAAUCGCGAAAGCUAGGGGAGCAAACGGG
Molecule: ribosomal RNA, 253 nt
Filed under: uncultured bacterium
Lineage: Bacteria
Description: partial 16S ribosomal RNA
Rfam family: Bacterial small subunit ribosomal RNA
Source: RNAcentral